UUCUGAGCUGAGCAAGGGUGUAACAGAUACACUGUGAAGUACACUUUGUGUAGCUCCAACUUGGCUGAUUUGAAUUCUAUCCCUGUCUUUUCUGUUUAAUAAUGCAUAUGAGAUAUCCCUUCUUUCAACCUCAAGAUGAAAUAUGGAGAUGGAAAUGGUUUAAAAUGCUUUAAAUUGCUGAAACCUUGUGUGUGUAAGGUUAAAAAAAAAUGUAGAUAAAUAGUUCUGAGCAAACAAAUUAAAACUCUGCUGAGGUGGGAGGUGAGUGCCUUAGGAGACAAACAUGUACUGCGGCAGGUAGCCAGGGCUGCAAGACCAAGUGCUCUCCCACCCCAGCCACUAAGCCACAGCACACAGCCAAGGCAUCAGAAGCACUGCAUAAAGCCAUUUUGGUUCUAGCAGGAUUUCACUGCAUCUCCAGUUACUGUCAUUUUAUUUUGCAAUCAUCCUUUUUUUCUUAUCUCACAGAGUGUUUUCAGUCUUUUAGGACUCCUGCAGGAAUGGACCUGGAUUGAAAACUUGCCCAUGUCAAUUCACAAAAAUCACUUCUUGCUUCUGGAUCAGCUGCUUGGGCCUGUUGUGCUGGACUGAACCAGCCCAUGGGAAGUGGAUAAAUGCUGCUUUGUCUGGAACAAAAGUGGGCUGACUUCAUCUACGUGCAUUUAUUCUACAUUGCAUUAGCGUGUGAGAUUCUGGACCAAGCCUGAGCACGGUUCCAGUGACAAGCUGCCCAGAGCUGCAGGGUGUUCAGCACGUCCACACUGAAUUGCUCCCAUCUCUUCAUUUGUCACAGACCACACGUAAUCAGAAGAUUUCUGCAUGUGACACCACACCAAACUGCAGUUCUGCUGCCCUGGAUGGUCUCUCAGAGCAGCCUUCACCAGGCUGUCAUUGCAUCUUUGCCACCAGAACAUCAUCCACGAUGAUUCAACUUCUUAAGAAUCCUGUUUGUGCCUCUUUCUGGUAACACUGAAAGUCUUACCCUCAGUUUUUACCCCAAAUGUCAUUUGUUUGCCAUUUCUGUCAGCCUGAUGACAUCCCAAAUAUGGUGAAGAAGCUCCCAUGACAUUUAUUAAUAUCCACUGUUGGCUCUGGUUGACAAGAUGUUUUGUUGAUGUCAAGUCAAUUUAUAUUUCUCCUUCUGUAGGCCUUUGAUGCUGAGCUCUUUUUAGGGCUUUGUUUGAAGCAACUGAGUCUCUUGUAAAUAGUUUGCCUAGUUUCUCAGUGAGUACCACGCUACUUGUCCAGCCCUUGGCUUUUCUGAUGAUACUGUCUCCUUUUCCAUUCUCUUUGUGGCUUCCAUUGUUAGCUGUUUUGUUCAUGUCAGGAAAUUGAUUUUCUGGGAGUGAGACCCUAUAACAGCCAAAUUGUUUUAUCUAUUAUCACAUGUAACAAGUCUGGAAGAUAUCCUAGUCCAUCAAAAAAAAGAAAAAAAAAUUAUGGUAAUUUACAAGCCUUUUUGCUGCCUGGAUGGAACAGAAGAUUUAGUUCCUCCUGCUACACCUGCAGUUUGCCAGUUGUGUACAAGAGAAGCAUUUCUUUUGGCUUCAGAGGUUGCUAGGGCAAUACAUUUUAAUAAAAGCAGAGGCUCCUUUGUUCUUGUUCUUGACCUGAAAUUUCAGCUUGUCUCGUUCCCUUCAGUAUUCUGCUUUUAAGUUACACUUGGUUUCUGGUUUUGUGAGCAUCUCAUCAUAUGAUUUUGAUUUGCUUUGACUUGCUACAAUUUCACUUUCUAUUCUUGCAAAAGGCAUAGAAUGCCUUUGUGACAUAACAUAUUCAGCCAUGUCCCAGUGUCUGUUUUUUGGCUUCAAGUCUAUCCUACCCUUCUCUUGUAUCUGGCACUCUACCAAUUUUUACAGACAUCUUCUUUACAUUUGUGUGUUUUGUGGUUGAUGGUUUCCUUCUCCAUUUGCAUAGAAUCAUAGAAACAUAGAAUGGCCUGGGUUCACACAAAUUAAAAACGACCUCUAGGAUCAUCUAGUUUCAACCUCUCUGCUGUGGAUAGGGUCACCAGCAACUAGACCAGGCUGCCCAGAGCCACAUCCAGCCCGGCCUUGAAUGCCUCCAGGGAUGGGGCAUCCACAACCUCCUUGAGCAACCUGUUCCAGUGCGUCACCACCCUCUGUGUGAAAAACAUCCUCCUAAUACCUAACCUAAACCUCCCCCGUCUCAGUUGAAAACCAUUCCCCCUUGUCCUAUCAUUAUCAAUCAACAUAAACAGUCAUUCCCCCUCCUGCUUAUAUGCUCCCUUCAAGUACUGGAAGGCCACAAUGAGGUCUCCCCGGAGCCUUCUCUUUUCCAAGGUAAACAAGCCCAGUUCCCUCAACCUUUCCUCACAGGAGAGGUGCUCCAGCCCUCUGAUCAUCUUAGUGGCCCUCCUCCAGACCCACUCCAAGAGCUCCACGUCCUUCCUGUACUGGGAGCACCAGGCCUGGACGGAGUACUCCAGGUGGGGCCUGACAAGAGCUGAGUAGAGGGGCACAAUCACCUCCCUCUCCCUUCUGGCCACUCCUCUUUUAAUGCAGCCCAGAACACAUUUGGACUUCUGGGCUGCAAGCGCACACUGCUGGCUCAUGUCCAGCUUCUCAUCCACCAGGACCCCUAAGUCCUUCUCCACAGGGCUGCUAUCAAGGAGUUCUUCCCCCAGUCUGUAUAAAUACCUGGGAUUGCUGCAUGCCAACACCUUGCACAUGUCCUUGUUGAAAUUCAUUAGUUUGACAUGGGCCCACUUUUCCAGCCUGUCCAGGUCCUUCUGGAUGGCUUCCCUUCUCUCUAGUGUAUUGGCUGCACUGCUCAGCUUGGUGUCAUCUGCAAACCUGCUGAGGGUACACUUGAUUCCACUGUUUGUGUCAUUGAUGAAGAUGUUGAAGAGCAUGGGUCCCAGGACCAACCUUUGGGGGACUUUGGGGCUUCGAGUUCCUGUAUAUUUCUCUAUUUUCCCUCAGUUUAAGCUGCAGGUCCUUGAUUAGCCAUGCUGGUUGCCUGCCGCCUCUGCUCAAUUUCUUCUGCUGGGGGAUGGAGAGCUCUUGUGUUCACAGGAGGGUGUCCUUAAAGAGCUGCCAGCUAUGCUCCAUUCCUAUGUCCUAACAGACAGUUUCCUGAGAGAUCCCAUCCAGCAGAUCCUUGAGCAGCUGGAAGAGUUUGCAUUUUGUGUUGUAUGGAGCUCAUUUAUAUGUAAAACCCCACCUCCUGAAUGCCCUCUUGCUUUAUUGAUCUCAUUACUUCACUUGCUUUGUUUGUUUUUCUUCAUCAUGGUAUUUGGGGUGCUUUUCUCUGCACUUUGUCUCCUCUGUUUGGACAUUCCUCCCAUAUUCAUUCAACUACAUUUUCUGGUAGUCCCUUUCCUUACCUUAUCUUCGCUCUGUCUUUGGAUGUAAGAUUGCCCAUUAGCCUUGCUCAAAAUUAUAAGAAGUAGUUGAGAUAUAUGGCUGUUUGGGUCAGUCUCCUACUGUUGCCUUUCAUCCUGGCUAUGAAUCUAGCCCAAACUCCUUCACCUCUUGUGAGCUGCUUCUUGCUCACAUCAGACAUUUUGCAUGCUCUAUCAUUUGAUCACUCCCUUGUUCCCUCUCUUUGUGAAUGCUGCAGUUGAAAAGGUAGAUAUUUAAGUCUUUGGGGAUUGUGCUUCUUGAGCAUUUCUAGGAUUUAGGAUGGAGCCUGCUUGACUGCCACUCCUGCAUGCUACUGAUGUGGAUGACAGCCUUUCCCAUCACACUAAUAUUAGAACUGGUUCUUUAUUUUCUUUUUUUUUUUUUUUUUCAUUUUACUCAUCCUCUGGCAAUCAUUUGGUUGCCCCAGUACAAUCAAAAGAAAAUAAUUUUACUGAAAGAACUGGUGAAUUCAUCCCUUUGCAAGAGCAUCUGUUUGGGAACAGGAAAUUGGUCAUUACCACAAUAAAUAUUUUCUUUGUUUGAAGAGGACUGCUUGCACUGUUGGGGAAAUUUUUCAUAUAUAUUUUUUUAUUAUUGUGUCCUAUCUUCUCAGUCCCUGAUUUGUUUCCUCUAAUGGGAUGUCUUCUCUCUUUGUCAGCUGUAUUUUCUUGAAAAAUAGCUAUUCUUGAGUAAAGACCACAGUCCCCUUCUUCUCCCUCCGCUGAGUGACCAAGUGCCAAAUUGCUAUAUCUGUAUAAAGCAAAUGAAUAAUGACUGCACCAUCUUCUCUUAGGACAAAGUCUAGGGGAAAAAUUACAUGUCUUAUUCAAAACACUCCAAUAUGCUCCAACUUGCUUAUGACCAGCUGUUUUAUGCUAUCAGUAAUUUACAAUAUCUCACGUGGAAAUUGUUUUGCCCCUCUGCCUACAGUAUACUGCAUGUAUAGCUGUCUGUAGGCUAUGUCACAAAUGCAGGAGACAACAUUACACAAGAAUUUUAUCCACUGUGUUCUCCUUGAAGUGUUAAGAAAUGUGCCUCAAAAUAUACUGAGUAUAGUAAUAAAACAGUAUAAAGCGUAUCUGUCUGAUACAAAAGGGAGCAAAAGGCAAGCUUUCCAAAAGAAGCGCUUCCCACUUUGUGGAAAUUUUUCCAUUUCCAAGGCAAAUGUGUUUUACAUAAACUAUUUCCCAAAUCUCUAUACAAAUCAUGUUGCAACUGGAGUGAUGUAGAUACAUUCACAUAAUGCACAGAAUUCCUCCUACAUUUCUACUGGGUAGAAAAACAUUAAGAGGGGCCAGGAUGCCAAAUGUAUUCAGCAUCACACUCCUGAAGAACAGGACGUGGACUGGUAUUCAGUAAUAUAUAAUUACUAGUGCUUAAACUCUGAACUUGUGUAAGGUGCUGCUGUGCUAUUGAAGUCAGCAGGCUCAAGAGUCCAAUGAAAUCAGCCACGCUCUAAGGAAUCAUCAACACAGCAGAACAGCUCAAAGAAACACUCUCUUUUUUGCCUAUAUGCAACUCUAAAUACCAUCAGUUUCUUCUGAGUUCUGAAAGCACAUGUUUUCUUGAUGGGCUGAACUCCUCAGCUUCUUACAGAAGCCCUAACCUAACCUCAGCUUCUUAUAGAAGCCCUAACCAGCUAAGCAUGACUGUAACCUGGUGCAGUCUUGCUGGCUGCUUGUGAAUCAGCCCACCAGGCAGGCUCUCUACACACAACCUAAGCCUGGUGAGCAGAUAAGCACAUUUGUGUGAGACUGCAGUGUAUGUUGCCUAGUGCAACAGAGAGGUUUCCUGGUUCAUGUUUGGUUUAAGUUAAUGCUACUUUGAUUAUUUAUGUCAUGACAUUGUUCUUUCAGCUGCACAGGAAGGAGAAGUUGGGACAUCUUCCCACCAACUUCCAACAUCCUUGUCAGAGCAGAAGUUCACGGUGGAACAAACCUUACUCUGCCUUCUGUGACUAUUCCCAUCAUACUGGAGACUGUCAACGUUCACCUUCUGCUUGACAGCAGGGAAAAAAAGGUUGGGGUAUUUAGGGCAUGCACUUCUAUGCCUGUAAAAUUUGCUCUCAACAGUCUACAGUCGGGAUUACAAAUGCCAAAUAAUAAUAAUAUCUCUACUACUUUUAGAUAUUGAUCCCUUAAUCUACCCUGUGAAAAAAAAAUAACAAUUACUGUAAAGAAUAUUGGAGAUUACAGCUAAACCUCAGGAGCCUUCUAGAUACAGCAGCCGAUUGGGAGACUGGCUUAUCUUCUGACUCAUAACCCAAACAAGCUCCUGAAUGUGCACUGUACAUGGGAAUAGAUGAGAAUGCUCUGGAGGAACAGAGCCAGGAAGAACAGUACUGAAGGUAGAUAAGGUCAGACCAAUUCUGGUAAUACAGGCUAAUUAGUAAAUCAGCAAUGGAGUGUUUCAAUAAUGUAGGCUGCACUGCAUCAAAAAAAGGAGAGACAGAAUGUACCAAGUGUCUUAGGGGAUGGAAAAACCCCAGAGGGAUGAAGUCAGCACUACUGAAGAAUUACCUAUACUUAACUGUUGAAGGGCUGGGAAUGUGACCCGUCUCAGACAGUUUUAUUCACUCAGCACUUUUUCACUGUGGAGACAAAAAAGAUUCAGAGUGGAGUCUACCUGGAAAAAGAGGGGCUGAAUGAUGUUUUGCGUUAAAAGGACAUAGCUGAUCUUGGACACAAGAUUAGCCAGGAAGCUAACAUCACAGCUAAAGCUCUGGGCUCACUUAGAAGAGAUUUUUCAAGUCUAAAGAAAGAAAGAGGACAUUUAAGCAUUUGUAAAUGCAAGCUGACAUGUUCUAUUGCAAUGAAGAGGAUAAAUAUUAAUGUCAUUGUCUGAAGAAAGAUAAAUUAUACAAGUUACAUCAUGAAUCCAUAUGAGAUCUGAAACCAAACAUUUUUAAGAGUAAAAAUAUACUACUAAAAGAGGAAUUCCAACAAAAAUUAAGUGAAACAGUAAUUAACAAGUCAUUUGUCUUUGCCUUGCAAGUCUGCUUGACUUUGCAGAGGAUAGCAAAAUUUCCUUUGCUUUAGAUUGCAGUGGCAUUUUUGCAAAGCCCUCACAGGUGAAUGAUCCCUGUCACACGGCUGCUCAGACCCAUGUCUGUAAAGUAAGACAGGCGUCCAUUAAGAGGUGACUCUUGCAUAUGUAUGGAGUCACUGGGAGAGGCUGAUUUCACUAUGAUACCACCUGCUUUGAGUUCUUGCAGCAUCACAGACAUGCAGUGGUGCUCAUCCUUCAUAUCACUGCCACUGGGGUGAGAGCUGCAGGUCCUGUUUCUAGAGCAAGAACCCAGUGGCUGAUCACGGCUCUGUGCUAAGGAGUAGUAAAAUGUCUGUCUCUUCUCCUAGAAAUUCAUAUUUCUUUCUCAUCAGAAAGACAGGCUAGAAAGUCCUGGAGACAAGGAAGUCCAUGCUGAGUAAAGAGCUAAUGAAAUGGUGAGAUUACAAACAGUAGAAGGAGCUCAGAAGGAACAGGUAUGAGUGACAGGAUUUUAGAAUGAUCUGUUCAAAGCUCUUUGUUUUGGGGGGUUUUGGUUUUGUUCUUCUUGGUUUUCUUUAUUUUAUUUUGUUUUGUUUUGUUUUGUUUUGCUUUUAUUUAUUUGCUUUUAGUAGUACCUAUGUAACAUCAACUAUCAAUAAACAGGUGAAAUAAGGAAA
Molecule: long non-coding RNA, 7033 nt
Organism: Gallus gallus (chicken)
Lineage: Eukaryota; Metazoa; Chordata; Aves; Galliformes; Phasianidae
Source: Ensembl